RNAcentral lists this non-coding RNA (109 nucleotides) under Atribacterota. Its description in RNAcentral is "Candidatus Atribacteria Glycine sequence". It matches the Rfam family "Glycine riboswitch aptamer". From Rfam's summary of the family: This family represents the bacterial glycine riboswitch. Glycine riboswitches usually consist of two metabolite-binding aptamers domains with similar structures in tandem. Lineage: Bacteria; Pseudomonadati. The record is from RNAcentral.
AUGAAGGUAAUAGGAGAGACAUUUUCUUUUAUUUUAAAAAGAAAAGGCGCCGAAGAGGUAAAAUACCAAAAGUAUUGAAACUUUCAGGUAAAAGGACCGUUACCGGACA